This 2275-nucleotide unclassified non-coding RNA is filed under the name Pocillopora damicornis (cauliflower coral). RNAcentral describes it as "uncharacterized LOC113665804, transcript variant X3". The record is from RNAcentral. Lineage: Eukaryota; Metazoa; Cnidaria; Anthozoa; Scleractinia; Pocilloporidae.
AAUCGGGCCAUUUUGUUUAUCUUCUGAAACAAAAGGGAAAUGAUUGAUAGCGGUGCUUGAUUUUGGAAGCGAAUUGUUUGAGUUUCAGCGAUUUAAUAAAAGACGUGAUCCCUAGAGGAUAAAUUCCCUACAAAUUAGAAUACUUCAAGUUUGUUGUCAAAAGUUAAGGAUACGCGACUUUGAGUACAGAUCGCCUUGAAGUAAUAUACUUUGCGAUGGCCACUGCUUUUACUUUAGCUGAGCUGGAAGCCUCCGUCAGCUUUGUUAACUCUGUGAUGAGUCAGGACAGCGAUCUUGAAUGCCUACCAAUUAAACCUGCACAGAAGCUGUAUCAAGCGCAAAAAACCGGUGUUUUAUUCUGCAAAUUAUUAAACCGAGUCCGAAGAGGAACCGUGCCAUGCUCCAGAAUCCAUAAGCAAGUGAGGAAUAUUCAUCAGGCAUUAGAGAAUCAAAAGCUAGUGUUAGAGGGAACACAGCAACUGGGUAUUGAUGUGCACAACGUUACAGCUGAGGACCUCUGGAGUGGAAAGGAAUACUUGGUUUUGGAAGUUCUGUGGAAAAUCGUCCGGGUUGGCUUGCUGUCUCGUGUGAAUGUGGAAAACCAUCCAAACUUGGUAUUGUUGCGCAGGUCAAAUGAAAACUGGCCAAGGUUUGUUAAGCUUUCUGCAGAAGAGUUACUGAUCAGAUGGGUCAAUUAUCAACUGAGACACACAUUUUACAGGGGUCCAGAGAUGACAGACUUCAACCACAGUUUAAAGGACUCUGUGAUAUACAGUUACCUUUUCACUCAGCUUUCCCCACAGAGGUGCAGUUUGUCUCCUUUGGAUGAAGAAGACUUGUUCGUCAGAGCAAAGAAAAUCUUAUCCAUGGCUGAGCUGAUAGGAUGUAAUAAAUACAUAACGCCACAUGAACUUGUUAAGGGAAAUCCACGGCUAAACCUUGCUUUUUUGGCGAACUUAUUCCAUUGUAGGCCAGGACUUGAGUUCCAUGCGACUGAUAUGGAAAGUGCUCGACUUAUAGAGGAACUCAACACGGCUCACGUCAGGUGUCGUUUGGUCGAAGAAGAGCGAAAUCUUUUGAUGGAAGUGAGACGAGAGAUGUCUGGGGAGCUGAAAGACGUGCGUAAGAAACUGGAGGAAAGCCUCAAAGAAAUGGAGAUUCUCAAGAGAAGAGCUUUGGGGCUUGAAGAUGAAAAUAAAUAUUUGACUGACGUCGAUGAGGCUGUUCGACGUCUAAAAGCAGAAAACUCGCUGCUUCAAAUUCAGCUCACUGACUCGAAAGCCGUAGAGGAUGAUUCCCAAGCUACCAUAGCGAAUCAAGAAAUAACAAUUGAUAGCUUGAAGAAAGAAAAAGAGGCACUGGUCAAAGAAUACGAGGAAAAAAUUAACGAACUAGAGAAUAAAAUCUCUGCAACCACUCGAAAACAAACAAAAAUAGUUCUUCAGAAAGAAGCUAUUAUGCAUGAGAGAGACCUCUUAAAACGGAAACAUGACAAAUGCCAAGCAGAACUCAAAAGACUUCAAGCUCAGAUUGAUCGUCGUCAACGACACGUCCAUCAACUUCGUCAGCUUUUUAAAUAUUUUAUUUCCGACAAAGGACUAGCAGAAAAACUUUAUGGGAACUUGGACACGACAUCUCUACAAAGCAGAAACGGCAAAAGCAAAGUGACAAAAUUUUGCCAGGAAGGAGGUUGGUAUUUACGAGAAACAGCUCCACAAAUUUUCCUACUGAAGGAUAAUUUUUUGUUUGUGUUCGAUCGCGAGGAGGAGGACGCCCCUUUACUUGUGCUGCGCUUGGAUCAGGCCACAGUAAACAAACAAGAACAUUGUGUGCUGCAAUUGAAGUUCUCUCAGAAAGAAUUUUCGUACCACAUAAAAGUUUCGCCCGCCUCAUAUGUCAAAGAUUUGCAACAAGAACUGGAAGUAGCCGCUGACUGGUGGACUGAAAGACAAAGGACUUCGCCUUGUUCCCGAUUCAAAGAGAUCGUUCAGUCGAACAUGUUGACCAGCGGUGGUAACAGAAGAAAGCUGAACUUAAGACAAACUUCACUUAUAACGGCAGACGUGUGACGCAACGGCCUCGAUCCCAAGUAAUUUGGUCAUCAGAAAAGUGGGGCCUGAAAAAAACAUACAUAGAAACAAAUACAUUUAAUGUCUUAGUACCUGCUCUAUUGUACACAGCCCUGCAAACAAGGUUUGCCCUCGCCUGAACCCGUGAGGAGCAUAAGGAAAACGGAUUCUAAGGAAAGAACCUGAGUAGAGCGUCUGAACUGAGA